GACCUCCCAGGAUCGCAUCUGGAGAGCUCCCAGUGCUCUGCCAGCUUCGGAGGCGGGAGGAAGAGACACCGCAGAUGAAUGCCCAUUCCGUGGCCAGCCCCGCCGUGGCCGGUCAGCGGAAGAUAAGUCUGCCACACGC
Molecule: small nucleolar RNA, 139 nt
Organism: Colius striatus (speckled mousebird)
Lineage: Eukaryota; Metazoa; Chordata; Aves; Coliiformes; Coliidae
Source: RefSeq, a predicted model, not a curated record